CCAUACCAACGAUAAGCCUGUCUUUCCCAUCACAUCAUGAAAGGUCAUGUUGAUGUUCAUUUAACCUCUGUCUCUGUCACGUCCUGACCAGUAAAGGGGGUUAUUUGGUGUUGUAGUUUGGUCAGGGAGUGGCAGGGGGUGUAUGUUUAGUGUGUUUCAGGAUUUUUGGGGUAAUGUUCUAUGUUAGUAUAUUUCUAUGUUUAGUCUAGCUUGUCUAUUUCUAUGUUUAGUUAAUUGGGUUGACCUUCAAUUGGAAGCAGCUGCUCCUCAUUGCUUCUAAUUUAAGGUCCUAUUUAUAGGGGUAUUUUUUUCCAUGGGAUUUGUGGGUAGUUGUUUCCUGUUUUGUGUUUGUUGCACCUGACAGGACAGGUUUUCGUCGGUGUUUGUUAUUUUGUUUAGUGUUCACAUUUCUUCUAAUAAAAAAGAAGAUGAGUAUACACAUUCCCGCUGCGUUUUGGUCCACUCCAGUCGACGAACGUGACAGUCCCUCUCUUCCUCUGACUCCUCCCUUUCUCCUUUGUUUCUCUCUGUUUCUCUCUAUCUCUUUCUCUCUCUUUCUCCUCUGUCUCUCUCUUUCUCCUCAGAUCUCCAGGCUCAAAGCGUCAGUCCACCAGCUGAACUCUCAGUCAGACUGGUGAAUGGGACCACUUCCUGUUCUGGGACAGUGGAAGUCUUCAAUGAAGGAGAGUGGUCAGGUCUAUGUACUAGGUGGUGGAGCAUGAGAGAGGUUAAGGUUGUGUGUAGAGAGCUGGACUGUGGAAACCCUGUAUCUGAAUCUAGAGGACCUCUGGUUGAAGAUGGAAGAAGAGGAGUCAGACUAUUUAGUAGUUGCUAUGGAAAUGAGUCUUCUAUUAGACAGUGUGACAUCAUAGAAGUAAGACCUGGUGUCUGUAUUGGUGGAUAUUAUCAUCAUGUGACCUGUUCAGAUCUCCUGGUCCAGCCUGAUAUCUCCCUGACUGACUCAAUGGGAGGGGUCUCCAGGGGCCACCAGGGGCCCGAGAUGUUCAGGGGCUAC
This 1015-nucleotide long non-coding RNA is filed under the name Salmo salar (Atlantic salmon). Its description in RNAcentral is "lncRNA (ENSSSAG00000082911.1)". The record is from RNAcentral. Lineage: Eukaryota; Metazoa; Chordata; Actinopteri; Salmoniformes; Salmonidae.